This is a non-coding RNA of Cinara cedri, 270 nucleotides long. The record is from the annotation of a GenBank genome assembly. Lineage: Eukaryota; Metazoa; Arthropoda; Insecta; Hemiptera; Aphididae.
CAGCCUUCUUUAUGCAGUAAAAUUGUCGAUUGCGUAACCGUUCCGUCGCGAAAAUCGUUCGCCGAGCAGCGUGACUAACCGUGUCAAACGCUUUCUUGAAAUCCGUAUAAAUUAUCGCUUGUAAAGAUUCCAAAUACAAAGUUGAUAAAUACGAAGUUAUACGUAAUUACAGAUCGACCAAGGGUGUUCGUGAGACAUAAAAGAAGAACUGGGAGGAGGUAAGUAUACCCCACUAACUAAAAACGUUUUAUCGUUAAAAAUAAAUCUUAC